This is a long non-coding RNA of Xiphias gladius (swordfish), 375 nucleotides long. RefSeq lists it as uncharacterized. The record is from RefSeq and is a predicted model, not a curated record. Lineage: Eukaryota; Metazoa; Chordata; Actinopteri; Istiophoriformes; Xiphiidae. The transcript has 4 exons.
CCACUGGAAGGCGAACUUUGGUUGUUUUGGGUCAGCUGUAGUUCGAUAGAGGCAUUUCCGUUUGCUUUUGCCCUUACCUCUGGCUGAAGCCAUGCAAUUUAUUCUACGCAUGGCUUUGAGGCUGGCAUGAGGCAGCCCCAUGUUCCUGCCUACCAGUCCUUGGCCCCAGGUACCGCAGCCCCAGGUUCCCGGCUACCAGCCCAGCAGAGUGGACUCAUAGGGAUAGGGAGUGGGACCCACUCCAUGGUAAAGGAAGAUUUUGCUACAGGCCCAUCUAGGGUAUAAGGUAUACACUGAAGGGGACAGUAGAUCCGGGAGGUGUCUCAACUGAUGAGCCAUGUUGCAUUUAACUGUUAACCAGAAUGGUCUUUGGAG